RNAcentral lists this ribosomal RNA (578 nucleotides) under Diaporthe sp. XN-1-1. Its description in RNAcentral is "eukaryotic LSU rRNA". The stretch from base 206 to 359 matches the Rfam family "5.8S ribosomal RNA". Lineage: Eukaryota; Fungi; Ascomycota; Sordariomycetes; Diaporthales; Diaporthaceae. The record is from RNAcentral.
UCCGUAGGGGAACCUGCGGAGGGAUCAUUGCUGGAACGCGCCCCAGGCGCACCCAGAAACCCUUUGUGAACUUAUACCUUACUGUUGCCUCGGCGCAUGCCGGCCCCCCUGGGGGCCCCUCCUUCUGGAGGAGCAGGCACGCCGGCGGCCAACCCAACUCUUGUUUUUACACUGAAACUCUGAGAAUAAAACAUAAAUGAAUCAAAACUUUCAACAACGGAUCUCUUGGUUCUGGCAUCGAUGAAGAACGCAGCGAAAUGCGAUAAGUAAUGUGAAUUGCAGAAUUCAGUGAAUCAUCGAAUCUUUGAACGCACAUUGCGCCCUCUGGUAUUCCGGAGGGCAUGCCUGUUCGAGCGUCAUUUCAACCCUCAAGCCUGGCUUGGUGAUGGGGCACUGCCUGUAAAAGGGCAGGCCCUGAAAUUCAGUGGCGAGCUCGCCAGGACCCCGAGCGCAGUAGUUAAACCCUCGCUUUGGAAGGCCCUGGCGGUGCCCUGCCGUUAAACCCCCAACUUCUGAAAAUUUGACCUCGGAUCAGGUAGGAAUACCCGCUGAACUUAAGCAUAUCAAUAAGACGGAGG